AGUGAAAUUUCUAGGUCAUAUUGUACCUCUCCAUACUUUGUGAGAAUCUGCCAAGCCAUUCUCAAAAGUGGCUGCACCAUUUUACAAACCCACCAGCAAU
Molecule: microRNA precursor, 100 nt
Filed under: Marmota monax (woodchuck)
Lineage: Eukaryota; Metazoa; Chordata; Mammalia; Rodentia; Sciuridae
Source: RNAcentral